AGUGAACGCUGGCGGCGUGCCUAAUACAUGCAAGUCGAACGAAGUGGCGCACGGGUGAGUAAUAUAUAUUUAAUCUGCCCUACACAGAGGAACAACAGUUGGAAACGACUGCUAAUACCUCAUAUUGUAGGAUGAGACUAUAUCGUAUCAGCUAGUUGGUAAGGUAAUGGCUUACCAAGGCUAUGACGCGUAACUGGUAUGAGAGGAUGAUCAGUAACAUUGUAACUGAGACACGGUCGAGACUCCUACGGUAGGCAGCAGUAAGGAAUCUUGCGCAAUGGGGGGAACCCUGACGCAGCAACGCCGCGUGGAGGAUGUCACUUUUCGGAGCGUAAACUCCUUUUAUCAGGAAAGCGGUACCUGAUGAAUAAGCACCGGCUAACUCCGUGCCAGCAGCCGCGGUAAUAC
RNAcentral lists this ribosomal RNA (408 nucleotides) under uncultured bacterium. RNAcentral describes it as "partial 16S ribosomal RNA". It matches the Rfam family "Bacterial small subunit ribosomal RNA", at positions 29 to 526 of the family's 1533-position model. The record is from RNAcentral.